This 1038-nucleotide ribosomal RNA is filed under the name Triticum aestivum (bread wheat). RNAcentral's name for it is "partial small subunit ribosomal RNA". Lineage: Eukaryota; Viridiplantae; Streptophyta; Magnoliopsida; Poales; Poaceae. The record is from RNAcentral.
AUGAGCAAGGUGCUCAGCCCGCGGUAUAAAGGCCUUUCAACCUAUGAGAAAGAAUACCUCGCCAUAGUUGUAGCGGUGGAUCAAUGGCAUCCCUACCUCCAACAUGCUGAGUUCAUAAUUCUCACUGAUCAGAAGAGUUUAAUUCGCCUGGAAGAGCAAAGGCUAACCACUCCAUGGCAGCAGAAGGCCUUUACCAAGCUCCUCGGCCUUCGCUACCGAAUCAGAUACAAGAAAGGUGUCGAGAACACAGGGGCAGAUGCUCUAUCAAGGGCCAACCCAAUUGAUUUCCUAAACAGCAUCACUUCUUGUGUACCCGCUUGGCUCGAAGACGUCGUCAACAGCUACAACAACAACCCACAUGCCACUCGCCUCCUGGAACAGUUGUCACUUCAGCAAGACCCGAAGGGCCGUUUUUCUCUUGAAAAAGGACUCAUUCGUUUUCGUCGUAGAAUUUGGCUGGGAGGAGGCAUGCAGAUACGACAACGCAUCAUUUGUACUUUCCACGACAUCCUGAUGGAGGGGCACUCCGAAUUUCCAGUGACUUAUCAUCGCAUCCGGCGUUUGUUUGCGUGGCCAAAGAUGAAGACGCACAUCCUCCAAUACGUGCGCUGCUGUCAGAUAUGUCAGCAGGCCAAACCAGACUGGGCUGCUUCUCCGGGUCUACUCCAGCCACUGCGUGUGCCCAGUCAGCCGUGGGAGAUGAUCUCUAUGGAUUUCGCCGACGGCCUAUCUCAGUCCAGCAAAUUCAAUUGCCUUCUGGUCAUCGUCGACAAGCGUACCAAGUUUGCCUAUUUUCUGCCUCUUGCUCACCCUUACACGGCAGCGUCAGUCACGCAGCUAUACUUACACCAAGUCUACAAGAUCCAUUGCCUACCAGCAGCUAUUGUGUUUGACAGAGACCCGGUGUUUACUAGUCACUUUUGGCAAGAACUCUUCAAAGGGGCAGGGACAGAGUUAAGAUUGAGCACUUCAAACCAUCCUCAGACGGACGGGCAAACGGAGAGGGUUAACCAGUGCGUGGAAACAUUCCUGCGCUGA